CUCCACCAGCCUCAGUUCCACCUGCUUGCUGGAGCAAACGGCAGUGGAAAAGUUCAUCAGUUCUCUUAGCUCCUUCCAGGCUCGUCUCUACCCAUUUGACACCGGCCCUGGUUAGUAUGUCCAAGUGGCCUUGAGCCACCUCCCUGAGAAAGUCACUCUCUGCUAGGAUGGAGCAAGUCCUGCAGACUGCGGGUCGGGGAGGGCUUGCCGCAGCCUGGGCCACAGGCUCUCUCCUCCUGGAAGCUAGUCUGCCAUGGCUUGUGCUGUGCAGGACUCAAGGUCACUUCUGGUUUAAGCCCCCAUCUCAUUGACAAAGGAACGAGCAGGGGACAGCCAUCUGAGGGGAGGGCAUGGGGAACAGCAUAGGUGGGAGCCCCAGUUCUCCCAAGCUAUUCAGGAAUCGGAUCGAGUCACUCCUUUCCUCAGAAACAGAGCAAGGCUCCUCACAGCCUCCCAAAUCGAGCCCAAACUCAGCCUGGAACUCAGCACUCUUUAUUAUCUGGCCCUGGGCUGUUGCUGGAUUCCUAGACACUGGGAUUCCUGGAUGCUGAUCCAGCUCUCAAGAGCCCUGGCUCUGUGGCUAUGAUGAUUGCCCCUGAAUAUCUGUACCACUACACCCAAACCACUCAGGGGCCCCAGUGUGUGUGCCCCUGUUCUGUGAAACGUGAACAGUGUUGGCUGAGCCAACACACCCUACCCUACACCCCGCCCCUGUUCCCAUCCUGCCCUGCACCUCCUCCUGCCUUAGUUCCACUCUGCCUGGGGAGAGGAAGGGACAGACCCUGCGCACUCCCCUCCUGUCCUAUGAGCUUCUCAAUGCCUGAUCACCCCACCGCCUGCCUGAUCACCCCUGCCUGAUCAGGAUGCCUGAUCACCCCACCGCCACCCCCACCAUAAUGGCCUUGCCCAGCAGAGCGCACAGUAAUUGCAUGAUCAAUAUUUGUUCAUAUGAGUUGAGUUGAACUGAUUUAAAGGAGUUCCUCCCCAGACAGAAUGAUUCCUCUCCUUAAAGAUGUAGGCUUUCGGCUGGGCAUGGUGGCUCAUGCC
Molecule: long non-coding RNA, 1047 nt
Filed under: Homo sapiens (human)
Lineage: Eukaryota; Metazoa; Chordata; Mammalia; Primates; Hominidae
Description: HSALNT0028441
Source: RNAcentral